Molecule: long non-coding RNA, 3549 nt
Filed under: Equus asinus (donkey)
Lineage: Eukaryota; Metazoa; Chordata; Mammalia; Perissodactyla; Equidae
Description: lncRNA (ENSEASG00005029313.1)
Source: RNAcentral
GGCCUGUGCGCCUUGUGGGGCCAGAGGCCAGAGGGGCUGGCAGGUUGACCCGGGGCCCCGCGGCCUCCUGCCGGAGCGCAAUCCUCAGACCAUCAGACCCGGUGGAGCCUUCCCUUGCUGCACCCAAGAUCCUCUGGUGGCUGACAGCACAAAAAUGGCCGUUGACAGCAACACGCCCCUGGAAGUCCCUGACAUGCUGGCCUGAUCCCCGGUCCUCGCUACACACCCUGCUGAGGAAACCAAGGCAGUUUAUCUGGAGUUAGAUCUGCUGCUUCCUGGCUGUGUGACCUUGGCUGCUGUCUAAGGAAGGGUCAGAGAGGCGCAGCAACUUGUCCGGAGUCCCACAGCUCCAAGAGUGAGGCGGCGUUUGGACCUGACCUUGCCAGGCUGCAGCCCGUCUCGGCCCCCGACCCCUGGCUGCCUGAGAGGCUCAUCCCCUCAUGGUGCAAAAUGGCUGCUGUCGAGCCAGGCAUCCUGUCACAAUGCCCAAUGGGAGCAGAGUGAAUAUCCUUUCCUCACGGCCGUGUGUAAAGACGAGGAAAGUUCCCCGAAGCUGCCAGCACACUCCCCUGCUCGCUAGCACUCUUCACUUGACCCUCCUGGGCCAGUUGUGAACGACGGGGGUCGGGAGUCCCAGGCUUGGCCUAACUAAGCCAUGUCCACUCGGAGGUGGGGGUGGGACCAAGCCACCACCUUCACAGACCCAAGGCUGUCGCUAGGGGAGGGGAUCCCUAACCGGGCAAAACCGCAGGGCGGCCCUGGAGCCCUGGAAGCCGCAGCUGCAGCUGGCGUAGCCCCGUGGGGGCAGGAGGCCGAGAGCCGCUGGCAUGGGGGGCGGACGACAUGAGACUGAUUUUGCUCUGAAGCUGCAUGUUGGAAGAUGGUGUUUGACGCUGUUUUACGUCCCUCCAUUAAGGGUCUUUCUGAUGACAAAAGACCCACUUGUUAGGGCGGGGGCACGGCUGUGUGUCCGACCCCCCGAGGAAGGGCCCAGCCUGGGGAGCUCCGUGCCCAGCGGCCCACUGUCAGCCCCUGCGGGCCAGCCACAGCCGCAGAGCCACCCCCUCAGGGUCAGCACGGUCCUGUCCCCUCGUCGGGGACCCAGAGGUUGGCACCAGGGCGAUUUUGACGCGAGGGGACACCCUGCGCUGGCCGGAGACACUUUCAGUCAUCAAGAUUGGGGGGCGCGCGAGGCUGGCAUCGCGUGGGUGGAGGCCAGGGACACGCUGGCAUCCUACAGAGCACAGGACGGCCCCAACCAAGGACAGUCUGGCCCCAAAUGUCCACACGUCCAGGGCUUGGGCCCUCGGGGACACCCUCGCAGACCUGGGACAGGCCCUCCUCCCGCCCACCUCCCUCCGAGCCCGCACCCCGGAGUGCGAACAGAGACAGCCAUUCUCAAGAAGAUUCCGGCAGUGCGAAACCAGCUCUCCGCUCGGCCUCGAAGCUCUGCUCGUCCCUGACCCCUGCUCGUCACCAGUGCACGUCCCCCCCGGUUGUUUCCAGGCUGCUGGCGGUACCCGUUGCUCGGCUGGCCAGCUCCCAGGCUCCCUGUUUCUGGUCACCACACCGGUUUCCCCCGGGGACCCCCCUCCCCCGUUACCCCCGGGCCCUGAGGUUUGCCAGGAGGCGCCUCCCCCCUUCCUUCCUCUGCACAUGGGCAGGUGACCCGGCCUGCCUAUCAGCACGGUCCCACCCCCGACUUCAGCGAUUUGUCCAGAGGUGGGCACGUGACCCAAGCAAGGUCAGGGAGGGUCAGCCUGAGGAAUUUGCUGGAAGUACUGAGAAAGAAGAAUGCUUUCUGCUCUUAUGGCUCAGCGGGUGGAACCGGAACCUGGAGCUGCCUGGGGCCUCACGUGGAGAGAGCCUGCUUAAGGAUGAGGCGAACAGAGGCAAGCCACGCGGAGAGACGGGGGCAGGGGGCCAGAGAUGGCAUCAUGACAGUGCUGGGCCCUGGAUCAAGCCUCGCCUGAAGAUACACUCCUGGUUUUUUCAUUGUUAGCUAGACCAAUAAUUUCCAUGUUUUUGCAAUUGAGCCACUGUUGUGAGUUGAGUGGUGUCCCUUCUCCAAAAAAGAUGGGAAGUCCUAACCCCCAGGGUCUCAGGUGACCUUCUGUGGAAACAGGUCUUUACAGAGGUGACAGAGUUAAGAUGAGGUUUCUAGGGUGGGUCCUAAUCACAAUGAGUGGAGUCUCUAGAAAAAAGGGAAAUUCAGACACAGAGACACACGCAGAGGGAAGGUGAUGGAAAGACACAGAGGGACCACACUGUGUGACUGGAGUGAUGUGUCUACAAGCCAGGGAGUGCCUGGCCGGCUGCAGGAAGGGCCGAGCCCUCAGGGAGCGCGGCCGCCACACCCGCAUUUCAGGCCGCUGGCCUCCAGGACGCAGAGAGAAUGAACCUCUGUUGCUGUAAGCCGCCUGGUUCUGGGUGCCGUGUUGGCAGCCGAGGAGACGCAGCCGCUGUGGUCGGGCUGUCAGGUUCAAGGAAGGAUCCCGAACAGCAGGUGUCACAGCAGCGUCCAGGUAGUUUUUUACAAAAAUGGUAGGUUUCGCAUUUGAAAUGACAGAAUGUCACAUUUUACGUGGUACCCACACUACUUAUGCUGACUCCCCCUCCCCCACGCUCUUCCCGCUCCACGUCCCUUGUGCUGGGCGACCCCGGCAGGCUGCAUCCCGCUCCGUGUCAUCAUCCAGGCCCCAUGGUUGGGCCAAACGUGCUCUGUGUCGUCUUGUAAAGGAGGGUUCCCAUGGUGACGUCCCAGUGGGCCAUGGGGACCACUGAUGUAUAAGAGAUGAUUUUAAGUAGAACACCAACUGUAUAUUUUGCUUUAAUAAUUAAUAUUUUAUCUUAAUGUGCAUUCAGACAUUGUAAUUGCCUCUUUAAACCUGGGAUUUACAAGUAUCAUCGUCAGGGGCUCUGUCUGAGGCCCCGCUCUCUGGUGGGAUAACUGGGAGAGGUUCCUGAAGGGACAGUUUGUAAAGGGGGAGGCCGGGGGUAGGUAGCGACACCCAGAAGAAACGGGCAGCCCAGGGCUGGCCAGGCAGGCCGCUGUCACCACCCUCAGGCCCGAAGGGGUGGGAGGGAGCGGCUACGGGAAGCUGGAGGAGCUGGAGCUGUGCGGGGAGCAGCAGACAGGAGGGAGCUCCGGCGGAAGAGCCAGUCCCUGUCCAUCAUGCGGAGGCGGGGACGGGGGUGGGGGAAACACCCCAGCCUCUCUCUCCUCCCGCCCUCCAGUCUCCAGUCCGGGCCUCCCAUUGGCUGAACCCAGCAGGAAGCUGGAGUGCAAGGGAGCCUGGGUAAUGUAGUCCACAGCGUCAGCCUCCUGGUACACAGAGCAGGGAGGGUCCGCAGGGGCCGUCGGAAGAUAACCUAAGAGGAGGCUGUGGAACCGGAGGCGGAAAACUUAAGGAAACUGUUAAGUUUUAAGCGGGUCCUUUCAGGCACCCGUGAGACCGCCCGUGACCAGGACCUGAAAUCCUGACACUUGACUUCCUUUCGCCCACUGCCUGCUGCCCUCUGCUUCUAUGCCCCCUUUGUCCCCAGAUC